RNAcentral lists this ribosomal RNA (497 nucleotides) under uncultured bacterium. RNAcentral's name for it is "partial 16S ribosomal RNA". It matches the Rfam family "Bacterial small subunit ribosomal RNA", at positions 28 to 507 of the family's 1533-position model. The record is from RNAcentral.
GAUGAACGCUGGCGGCGUGCCUAAUACAUGCAAGUCGAGCGAACGGACGAGAAGCUUGCUUCUCUGAUGUUAGCGGCGGACGGGUGGGUAACGCGUGGAUAACCUACCUAUAAUACUGGGAUAACUUCGGGAAACCGGAGCUAAUACCAGAUAAUAUUUUGAACCGCAUGGUUCAAAAGUAAAAGACGGUCUUGCUGUCACUUAUAGAUGGAUCCGCGCUGCAUUAGCUAGUUGGUAAGGUAACGGCUUACCAAGGCAACGAUGCAUAGCCGACCUGAGAGGGUGAUCGGCCACACUGGAACUGAGACACGGUCCAGACUCCUACGGGAGGCAGCAGUAGGGAAUCUUCCGCAAUGGGCGCAAGCCUGACGGAGCAACGCCGCGUGAGUGAUGAAGGUCUUCGGAUCGUAAAACUCUGUUAUUAGGGAAGAACAUAUGUGUAAGUAACUGUGCACAUCCUGACGGUACCUAAUCAGAAAGCCACGGCUAACUACGUG